Molecule: ribosomal RNA, 468 nt
Filed under: uncultured bacterium
Lineage: Bacteria
Description: partial 16S ribosomal RNA
Rfam family: Bacterial small subunit ribosomal RNA
Source: RNAcentral
GACGAACGCUGGCGGCGUGCUUAACACAUGCAAGUCGAGCGGAAAGGCCCUGCUUUUGUGGGGUGCUCGAGUGGCGAACGGGUGAGUAACACGUGAGUAACCUGCCCUUGACUUUGGGAUAACUUCAGGAAACUGGGGCUAAUACCGGAUAGGAGCUCCUGCUGCAUGGUGGGGGUUGGAAAGUUUCGGCGGUUGGGGAUGGACUCGCGGCUUAUCAGCUUGUUGGUGGGGUAGUGGCUUACCAAGGCUUUGACGGGUAGCCGGCCUGAGAGGGUGACCGGCCACAUUGGGACUGAGAUACGGCCCAGACUCCUACGGGAGGCAGCAGUGGGGAAUAUUGCACAAUGGGCGGAAGCCUGAUGCAGCAACGCCGCGUGCGGGAUGACGGCCUUCGGGCUGUAAACCGCUUUCGCCUGUGACGAAGCGUGAGUGACGGUAAUGGGUAAAGAAGCACCGGCUAACUACGUG